GGGAAGGUAGCUCAGUGGUAGAGUGCUUGCUUCACAUGCAUGAGGCCCUGGGUUUAAUUCCUCAGCCCCA
Molecule: transfer RNA, 70 nt
Filed under: Dipodomys ordii (Ord's kangaroo rat)
Lineage: Eukaryota; Metazoa; Chordata; Mammalia; Rodentia; Heteromyidae
Rfam family: tRNA
About the family: Transfer RNA (tRNA) molecules are approximately 80 nucleotides in length. Their secondary structure includes four short double-helical elements and three loops (D, anti-codon, and T loops).
Source: Rfam by way of RNAcentral